Molecule: ribosomal RNA, 2132 nt
Filed under: human gut metagenome
Description: bacterial LSU rRNA
Rfam family: Bacterial large subunit ribosomal RNA
Source: RNAcentral
GGAGGCUAACGCAGGGAACUGAAACAUCUUAGUACCUGCAGGAAAAGAAAAUAAACAAUGAUUCCCCCAGUAGUGGCGAGCGAACGGGGAACAGCCCAAACCAUCCAUGUUACGGCAUGUGUGGGGUUGUAGGACUACGCCGUUGCAUGAAGACAUCAGAGAAGAACUUUCUGGAAAGAAAGACCAUAGAGCAUGACAGUUGCGUAUUCGAAUGUUGUCGAAGCAUAGUAGUAUCCUGAGUAGCGCGGAGCACGAGGAAUUCUGCGUGAAUCUGCCGGGACCAUCCGGUAAGGCUAAAUACUCCCGAGAGACCGAUAGCGAACCAGUACCGUGAGGGAAAGGUGAAAAGCACUUCGAACAGAAGAGUGAAAUAGUUCCUGAAACCGUGCGCCUACAAGCGGUCGGAGCUCGUUAAUGAGUGACGGCGUGCCUUUUGCAUAAUGAACCUACGAGUUGCCUUUGCCGGCAAGGUUAAGUGUGACGACACACGUAUCCGAAGCGAAAGCGAGUCUGAAUAGGGCGUAUAGUCGGCAGUGGCAGACGCGAAACCAAGUGAUCUACCCUUGGCCAGGUUGAAGGCUGGGUAACACCAGCUGGAGGACCGCACCAAUAAGCGUUGAAAAGCUUCUGGAUGAGCUGAGGGUAGGGGUGAAAGGCUAAUCAAACUUGGAGAUAGCUCGUACUCCCCGAAAUGCAUUUAGGUGCAGCCUUGCGGGUUACUGAUGUGAGGUAGAGCGACUGAUAAGAUGCGAGGGCUUCACCGCCUAUCAAGUCUUGACAAACUCCGAAUGCGCAUCAGUUCUACCGCAGGAGUGAGGGCAUGGGUGCUAAGGUCCGUGCCCGAGAGGAGAAGAAUCCGGACCACCUGCUAAGGUCCCGAAAUGACAGCUAAGUUAAACUAACGAAGUCUGACUGCUAAGACAGCUAGGAUGUUGGCUUGGAAGCAGCCAUUCAUUUAAAGAGUGCGUAACAGCUCACUAGUCGAGGAGUCGGGCGUGGAUAAUAAUCGGGUAUCAAGUUGUCUACCGAAGCAGUGGGAUCAUUUAUAUGAUCGGUAGGGGAGCAUUCCAGUCGGCGUCGAAGGCGUACCGUGAGGUAUUCUGGAGCGUCUGGAAAAGCAAAUGUAGGUAUAAGUAACGAUAAAGGGGGCGGGAAACCCCCUCGCCGAAAGACUAAGGUUUCCUGAUCAACGCUAAUCGGAUCAGGGUCAGUCGGGUCCUAAGGCUCAGCCGAACGGCGAUGCCGAUGGCAGAAACGGUUAAUAUUCCGUUACUACCUUCAGGAGUGACGUGGAGACGCAGUAGUGACAGUGCCGCCAUCUGACGGAAUAGAUGGUUGAAGGGUGUAGGAGUCGAUCAUGGCAGGCAAAUCCACCAUGAGAUCCGAACCUGACAGUAUGCCGCGUCCUUCGGGACAAGGCAAUAGUGCGCGUAAGCAUGCUGCCGAGAAAAUCCGCUAAACUUAAUCCUGCAGGUACCCGUACCGCAAACGGACACACGUAGUCGGGAUGAAUAUUCUAAGGCGCUUGAGUGAUUCACGGUUAAGGAACUAGGCAAACUGACCCUGUAACUUCGGGAUAAAGGGUCCCUACCCUUUUAUGGGAGGGCGCAGAGAAUCGGUCCAGGCAACUGUUUAACAAAAACACAGGGCUGUGCCAAAUCGAAAGAUCCAGUAUACAGCCUGACACCUGCCCGGUGCUGGAAGGUUAAGAGGAGAUGUCAUCGAUGAGAGAAGCGUUGAAUUGAAGCCCCAGUAAACGGCGGCCGUAACUAUAACGGUCCUAAGGUAGCGAAAUUCCUUGUCGGGUAAGUUCCGACCUGCACGAAUGGUGUAAUGAUCUGGACGCUGUCUCAACCGUGAGCUCAGUGAAAUUGUAGUAUCGGUGAAGAUGCCGAUUACCCGCGAUGGGACGAAAAGACCCCGUGAACCUUUACUAUAGCUUAUCAUUGAAUCUGGGCACGUGAUGUGUAGGAUAGGUCGGAGGCUUUGAAGCAGGUACGCCAGUAUUUGUGGAGCCGCUGUUGAAAUACGACCCUUUAUUUGUUUGGAUUCUAACCCGUGGAACGGGGACAUUGAUUGGUGGGUAGUUUGACUGGGGUGGUCGCCUCCAAAAGCGUAACGGAGGCUUCUAA